This 465-nucleotide ribosomal RNA is filed under the name uncultured bacterium. Its description in RNAcentral is "partial 16S ribosomal RNA". It matches the Rfam family "Bacterial small subunit ribosomal RNA", at positions 28 to 507 of the family's 1533-position model. The record is from RNAcentral.
GACGAACGCUGGCGGCGUGCUUAACACAUGCAAGUCGAACGGAAAGGCCCCUUUGGGGGUACUCGAGUGGCGAACGGGCGAGUAACACGUGAAUAACCUGCCCUUAACUUCGGGACAACUUCCCGCAACUGGGGCUAAUACCGGAUAGGAAUCCUUGCUGCAUGGUGGGGGUUGGUAAGCUGCGGCGGUUUUGGAUGGACUCGCGGCUCAUCAGCUUGUUGGUGGGGUAGUGGCUUACCAAGGCUUGGACGGGUAGCCGGCCUGGGAGGGCGACCGGCCACAUUGGGACUGAGAUACGGCCCAGACUCCUACGGGAGGCAGCAGUGGGGAAUAUUGCACAAGGGGCGGAAGCCGGAUGCAGCAACGCCGCGUGCGGGAUGACGGCCUUCGGGUUGGAAACCGCUUGCAGCAGGGGCGAAGCUUGUGGUGACGGUACCUGCAGAAGAAGCACCGGCUAACUACGUG